UACGUAGGGUGCGAGCGUUAAUCGGAAUUACUGGGCGUAAAGCGUGCGCAGGCGGUUCGUUGUGUCGGCGGUGAAAGCCCCGGGCUUAACCUGGGAAUGGCCGUUGAAACUGGCGAACUGGAGUGUGGCAGAGGGGGGUGGAAUUCCGCGUGUAGCAGUGAAAUGCGUAGAGAUGCGGAGGAACACCGAUGGCGAAGGCAGCCCCCUGGGCUGACACUGACGCUCAGGCACGAAAGCGUGGGGAGCGAACAGG
This 253-nucleotide ribosomal RNA is filed under the name uncultured bacterium. RNAcentral's name for it is "partial 16S ribosomal RNA". It matches the Rfam family "Bacterial small subunit ribosomal RNA", at positions 524 to 776 of the family's 1533-position model. The record is from RNAcentral.